CAGUAGCCGCGGUAAUACAGAGGAUGCAAGCGUUAUCUGGAAUUAUUGGGCGUAAAGCGCGCGCAGGCGGCCUAUCCAGUCUGUCUUAAAAGUUCGGGGCUCAACCCCGUGAUGGGAUGGAAACUAGUAGGCUAGAGUAUCGGAGAGGAAAGCGGAAUUCCUAGUGUAGCGGUGAAAUGCGUAGAUAUUAGGAAGAACACCAGCGGCGAAGGCGGCUUUCUGGACGAAAACUGACGCUGAGGCGCGAAAGCCAGGGGAGCGAACGGGAUUAGAUACCCCUGUAGUCCCUGUCUCUUAUACA
RNAcentral lists this ribosomal RNA (301 nucleotides) under uncultured bacterium. RNAcentral's name for it is "partial 16S ribosomal RNA". It matches the Rfam family "Bacterial small subunit ribosomal RNA", at positions 509 to 809 of the family's 1533-position model. The record is from RNAcentral.